This 292-nucleotide ribosomal RNA is filed under the name uncultured bacterium. Its description in RNAcentral is "partial 16S ribosomal RNA". It matches the Rfam family "Bacterial small subunit ribosomal RNA", at positions 505 to 796 of the family's 1533-position model. The record is from RNAcentral.
GUGCCAGCAGCCGCGGUAAUACGUAGGGUGCGAGCGUUAAUCGGAAUUACUGGGCGUAAAGUGUGCGCAGGCGGCUCCGCAAGUCGAGUGUGAAAUCCCCGAGCUUAACUUGGGAAUUGCGCUCGAAACUACGGAACUGGAGUGUGGCAGAGGAAGGUGGAAUUCCACGUGUAGCGGUGAAAUGCGUAGAGAUGUGGAGGAACACCGAUGGCGAAGGCAGCCUUCUGGGCCAACACUGACGCUCAUGCACGAAAGCGUGGGGAGCAAACAGGAUUAGAAACCCGAGUAGUCC